This 1661-nucleotide long non-coding RNA is filed under the name Homo sapiens (human). RNAcentral describes it as "long non-coding RNA NONHSAT035467.2". The record is from RNAcentral. Lineage: Eukaryota; Metazoa; Chordata; Mammalia; Primates; Hominidae.
CGCGCUGUCCGCCUGCCUGCAGAAGUGGCUCUGAGAGCUGUUUGAGGAGAAAAUGGGGGACUUUGGGCUUCAGCCCGAGGAGAACACGGUGGAGAUGGAGGAGCCCCUGGGGGUCCGCAGGUUAACUGAAAACAUGGGAGGACACAAGCGCGGGACCAAGUCUGUCACUAACCUGUAAAGAACUCUGACCAAGCUGACUGGGCACUCUGUCUGCGCGCCUUUCUUUGCCACCACGUGUGCGGGAAUGCCUGGGGCACGACUGGGCCAUCUCAGUGUUCUUGUUUCUAGCCAUUCCGAGGUUACCCCUCAGCAAAACGCCAGAGGCCGGCAGACACAGUGGAGCAUCCUGCAGUAGGGAUCCGAAGCCGUGGAAUCUCCAAAGGGCCACGACUGCUUCCCAGAAGCUCUAGCACGUUGCCCGGAAAGCCCAGGUGGUCUUUGGCAAGACCUCCCGGAUUGUGGUUUUGAUUUGCAUUUCUCUGAUGACCAGUGAUGAUGAACAUUUUUUCAUGUGUCUGUUGGCUGCAUAAAUGUCUUCUUUUGAUAAGUGUCUGUUCAUAUCCUUCGCCCACUUUUUGAUGUGAUUGUUUGAUUUUGUCUUGUACAUUUGUUUAAGUUCUUUGUAGAUUCUGGAUAUUAGCCCUUUGUCAGAUGGGUAGAUUGCAAAAAUUUUCUCCCAUUCUGUAAGUUGCCAGUUCACUCUAAUGGAAGUUUUUUUUUUUUUGCUGUGCAGAAGCUCUUUAGUUUAAUUAGAUCCCAUUUGUCAAUUUUGGCUUUUGUUGCCAUUGCUUUUGGUGUUUUAGACAUGAAGUCCUUGCCCAUGCCUAUGUCCUGAGUGGUAUUGCCUAGGUUUUCUUCUAGGGUUUUUAUGGUUUUAGGUCUAACAUUUAAGUCUUCAAUCCAUCUGGAAAAGUUAAUAAUAAUAAUAAUAAUGAAAUAUGGAAAAAAUAAAAAAAAAAAAGACCUCCCGGAGACCAGGAACUUGGUCGGUGCUUGCGGCCUGAGAUCGAGCUCUGGGGCACCUUCCUGUCCUUCUGCUUUUUCCUUGGCCGCCUUAGGGGGCGCGCCUCGCCAUGGGUCUCCCUGCGGGCGGCGCGGUGGUGCUCCUGGAUGUCACCUCCAGGCGCUUUUGAGACUGCGACCGGCAUCGGGCGCCCAGCACCUGCGGAUUGGCCUCCCCAUGCCUGGCUCAAGGACCUCCAGCACUCCGCAGUGCGGGCUGCAGGCGACCUCAACGUGGAGCUGCUGCCAGCGCCACAGGCCCCAGGGAAGCCCAGGAUCUGCUUCCCAGGCCCAAGAAGGGCAGUUUCGGAAAGUCUUUGGCGUGAUGGAAGGCAGCGCCCAUCUGGGGCGGGGCUGAGAACUAGGCUGGCGCCGCUGCCUGGUAAGCGGGUACCAAGAGGCCCACGGCCUCCAUCAGGAACCAGGUGCUUCUCCAAAUCCCGGACUUCAAGGAGCAGCAACGGCGUCAAGCUGGCUGACACCAGGAACACCCAGAAGUCCCCACUCCUGUCCUUCCGCACUCAGGAGUGGGGAUGGCCACAGGGACACCAUCCGCCCACAAACCACUGGCCUUUGCUGCCAUGGUGCGCGGAGAUGCGGUCCCCGAGGCCACUUUCGGCCAGGACGCCGGGAUCUUAUCAGCGGCAGCAUCCCGCGCU